CACGUAGGCGGCUUUUUAAGUCAGGGGUGAAAUCCUGGAGCUCAACUCCAGAACUGCCUUUGAUACUGAGAAGCUUGAGUCCGGGAGAGGUGAGUGGAACUGCGAGUGUAGAGGUGAAAUUCGUAGAUAUUCGCAAGAACACCAGUGGCGAAGGCGGCUCACUGGCCCGGUACUGACGCUGAGGUGCGAAAGCGUGGGAGCAAACA
RNAcentral lists this ribosomal RNA (206 nucleotides) under uncultured bacterium. RNAcentral's name for it is "partial 16S ribosomal RNA". It matches the Rfam family "Bacterial small subunit ribosomal RNA", at positions 568 to 774 of the family's 1533-position model. The record is from RNAcentral.